This 460-nucleotide ribosomal RNA is filed under the name uncultured bacterium. RNAcentral's name for it is "partial 16S ribosomal RNA". It matches the Rfam family "Bacterial small subunit ribosomal RNA", at positions 338 to 795 of the family's 1533-position model. The record is from RNAcentral.
CCUACGGGUGGCUGCAGUGAGGAAUAUUGGUCAAUGGGCGCGAGUCUGAACCAGCCAAGUCGCGUGAGGGAAGACGGCCCUACGGGUUGUAAACCUCUUUUGCCGGGGAGCAACGGGCGCCACGUGUGGCGCCACUGAGAGUACCCGGAGAAAAAGCAUCGGCUAACUCCGUGCCAGCAGCCGCGGUAAUACGGAGGAUGCGAGCGUUAUCCGGAUUUAUUGGGUUUAAAGGGUGCGUAGGCGGGCUUUUAAGUCAGCGGUAAAAAUUCGGGGCUCAACCCCGUCCGGCCGUUGAAACUGGGGGCCUUGAGUGGGCGAGAAGAAGGCGGAAUGCGUGGUGUAGCGGUGAAAUGCAUAGAUAUCACGCAGAACCCCGAUUGCGAAGGCAGCCUUCCGGCGCCCUACUGACGCUGAGGCACGAAAGUGCGGGGAUCGAACAGGAUUAGAUACCCCGGUAGUC